RNAcentral lists this long non-coding RNA (1092 nucleotides) under Homo sapiens (human). RNAcentral's name for it is "HSALNT0319929". Lineage: Eukaryota; Metazoa; Chordata; Mammalia; Primates; Hominidae. The record is from RNAcentral.
CUUUGUCAUGAAGUUGUACAUAUAAAUGGUUCAAAAUCAGAGAAGAAGAAUGGAGACAUUAAAAGGUCUCUAGAGAAGUUCAGACUCAGCUUCUGCCUUAUGCCAACAAAAUUUGAAAAACCUAUGGAAAGAGAGAAAACAACUGGCCCAAAAUCUAAGGAUAGAAAGUAUCUCCAGGGAGAAAGGAGAUUUGCACCCAUGAUCAUCUGAAGGUAGAUACAGGUCUGAGCAGACAGACAGAAGCCAGCACAACUGCAGGAGAAAUGAAAUGAGGUUCUAAGCCACCUUACAGCUUAUAUUGGCCCCACCAGUCUUUUUGUUCAUUGGUUACGUGAGUCAAAUUUAUAUCCCUAAAUCCGGAAUAUGCUGCCUCCAGAAUCCAAAGAAGCCUGAGAAGCAUGGUGAUUCCUUCUUAGUGGUGGAAAGAAUGAGUUAUACACAAGAUGAAUGGAUUAACCACUGGAAGACCUGCACUACUACAAAUGUUAAAGAAAGUCCUUCCAAGAAAGAAAAAAGGCAACUUAAUGGAAACUUGUGUCUACCAAAUGGAAAGAAGAGCAAUGGGAAUCCUAACUACGAGUGUGAGAAAAAAAGUUGAAUGUGGUGAUGGGGAAAACACUGAAGUUCAAAAGAAGCGAAGACAAGAAGCUACUCAUGGCAGCAGCUUUUCCCAUAAAUCAAGAAAUGCUACAGAUUAUAAAUGAGAUGAGACUAUCAAGAAGAGACCUAAUAGGAGUGUGAAGACCAAAAAUUUAAAAGACGUGGUUAUAUACUUUGAGUAAACUCUAUAUAUAGGACAAUGUUAUUGUUUGGUUCUGUGUUCCUCACUCAAAUCUCACCUCAAAUUAUAAUCCCCAUGUGUCAAGGGCAGGACCAGGUGGAAGUAACUGGAUCAUGGGGGAAGUUUUCCUCAUGCUUUUCUCAUAGUAAGUGAGUUCUCAUAAGAUCUGAUUUUUUUAUAAGCAUAUGGCAUUUCCCCUCCUAGCAUUUUGCCUCCUGCUGCCUUGCAAAGACGGCAGUUGCUUCCCCUUUGCCUUCCGCCAUGACUGUAAGUUCCCUGAGUCCUCUCCAGCCAUGUGGAACUGUGGGUUA